Molecule: RNA transcript, 941 nt
Organism: Juglans regia (Persian walnut)
Lineage: Eukaryota; Viridiplantae; Streptophyta; Magnoliopsida; Fagales; Juglandaceae
Gene name: DNA repair protein recA homolog 2, mitochondrial-like
Exons: 7
Source: RefSeq, a predicted model, not a curated record
GUCCGCAUUCAGCACCGGUGGACGUGUAAUAGAUCCAUACCGAAGCUCAUUAGCUCCAGAGACUGUCCAAGCACUAAUUUGCACGCAAAAUUGGUUGACUUGUGAACCACUUAGUUCUUGGGGGGUUGAGGAGCAUGUAGAACGCGUUGACAUCGAAGGUAACCCUCUUCCUUCAAGUUCAGCAACUUAAGCAACUCCAACUUCAACUUAAUAUGCAUCAUCCAGCUAAUGUCACGUGUAAACAUGGUAGCUGCCCUUAUCCCCCAAUGUGAGCUUGAUCAAACGAUAGGCGGCACCUCCAAAGAUGAACAAUCGAGAAUAAUGACUCAAGCACUUAGAAAAAUUCAUUACUCAUUAAGCCAAUCUCGAACUCUUAUUGUUUUUCUUAAUCAGAUUCGGUUAAGUCCGAAAUCAGUGCAAGGUUUUGGACGAGUAGAUGAGGUCACAUGUGGUGGAAAUGCAUUGAAAUUCUAUGCAUCUGUACGACUGAAGAUGAUAAGAAAAGCAUUGCUCAAGACGGAGGAUAAGUGGCAAUGGACAAAAAUAGGAAAAAAGAGUGGCUGCAAUAUUGCUUACACUCUUCUAUGUGGCUGCUCUUAGAGCUGUGAAAUCGUAUGAACUUCCUGUUGGAUUGUCUUUGUGCUUUGGUAGCAAGCUCCUCUGCCGCAAGUAUUCCAGCUGGUGGUUGAGAGGUUUAUGUUGACAACUUGGAGGAGGGAGAGGCGAUUGAUGUGGGAGAUCGUGAAGACACCUUCUCAUAGGAGUUGAGAUUUGCGAUGUAAUUCUGGGUUACAAUGCAAGCUAAAUUGUGGCAUAUUUGCAUGGUAGAAUUGAUAACUAAGCUAAAUUUUUGGGCCGAGUAGCAGAAAAACUUAGUAUUGAUAACUAAGGUCUGUAAUAUGUAUUUAAGGUCGUAUCAGAAUUUGUUAAAAAAAAAAAAA